Hemicordylus capensis (graceful crag lizard) is the source of this 1653-nucleotide RNA transcript. RefSeq lists it as uncharacterized. The record is from RefSeq and is a predicted model, not a curated record. Lineage: Eukaryota; Metazoa; Chordata; Lepidosauria; Squamata; Cordylidae. The transcript has 3 exons.
CUUUCUCUGCUGAUGUUCUAGCCUUCUGGCUCACACACCACUCAGCAGCACCCACACUCUCUCACCAAGCUCUACUCCCACAGUCCUCCUCCUCCUGGCUGCUCAGUCUUCCCUUUGAUCCAGUUCCAAAAGGAUCCAUAACCCAUCAGGGAGUUUCUUUCCUCAGGCAGCCAGAACCUUCUGCCUGGAGGCAACCAUUCACAACACAUUGUAACUUUCCUUCCAAAAUUCUGCAGCAGGUUUAAAAGUUUGUAUUCAUUCUGCUCGAGUCUUUGUGGCAAACUGAGUUCUUUUUCCUGACUACUGUGUUGGAGGGAAAAAUCCCUACAAGAAAGAUUUCUAGUUUCCAUCUUCUGUUCUGGAAUAUUAUUACUUCACCACCACCACCACCACUAUUAUCAUCAUGGCUUCAACAUAAACACCCAUCACAAACUUUUUUGCCAGAAAGCAGCAAUUCCUGUCAGUUUGGUGGCAGCUUUACUAGGUGAAGAAGGAAACACCGAAUGUAAACCUUCAUCUACCAGUGCUGCUUUGGAAAGAGAAUGUAGCACUGAGAGUUCAACAAGAAACUCAGCUGACUUUCCUGGAACUGCACCGACAGACUUGGGUGAGUCUAGACCAGCACAGCCUUAUCUUUCCUCAUAUCCAGGGACAAAGAAAAAUGACAAUGGCAGAGAUUCCGGUACCCCUGGUUUAAACUGUGGGACUGGCUGGAAUACUCAGUAAAUACUCAGGGGAAGCAGGGCCCAACUUACCUUUCCCCCAUUCAACCAACAAAUGCUGCCAGACAAAUCUCCCAAUCUGUGCUGCUCUAAGCAGUGCAGAUCUUUGGAGGCUGGAACGUGUCCCACCCCCCGGAUAUCCCACAGUGCACCUCAUGAUGAGCAAGGUGCAUUGGGGGAUACCCCCAUGAGAUGGAUGUUCUAGGCGCCUGUCUCUGUGUGCGACACAUGGUCCUGUGUGCCUUUGUAAGCUAUGGUUUUCUGACAGGAUUUUUUAUGACAGCAUUGUUGAUAGUCGGGACAUUAAUUUUUAAGGAAGGGGUGAAGAUGAACUAGAGUGCAGAAGGCUUUAUAACAGCGUUAUUGACCACUGUACUCAGGAACUGGAAAAUAGAUUCAAGGAGAGAAAAUUGUUGUAGCUGCUUGCAAGUAUAUUCUGCUCCAGUAUGGGGAUAAAGAAAAUGUGAAUCCACUAUGUGAACUAUUGAAACACAGCUCUGAAAAUUGUAAAAAAGCUAGAAAACUUAAGUUUCCAAGAUUGAGUUGGCAAAAACUGUUACUGGAGAAAGACCAUCACUGAUACAAUUUGCAGAUGAGCUCAGAAAAUAUAGAUCUGCAUUUUCUGGACUGUUUUGGCUGAGGCUGCUUUGACAACUCCAAGUAGUACUGCAACAGUGGAGAGUUGCUUUUCUAAUUUAACAUCAGUCUUACAUCCACAGAGAUUGUCAGUGCCACAUGAACAUAAAGCUGAUCUUGAUCUUUAAAGUUAUAAUAAGGACUUUACUGGAGCAUUGGACUUGGAUGAACUUGUACUACAUUUUGCAGCAUCUAAGACAGGAAAACAUUUGAAAUAUUGUAAGCAAACUUUGUUGUACUUUCUGAAUGAAAACAGUUUACAGUAUGUGAAUUAUGUUAUAAACUGUAAGCAUAC